AGCGUUGCUGUCCGGACAGAGCAAAAAAAACAAGGCAUCAGUAUUGUUGAGUAUUAGCUUGUACCUGGUUCGGAGGCUAAGUUUGCCGGAGAAGGCAGGGGUGAGCCACGGUGGCUGCCCGGCUGUGCACCGGCGCCGGAGUUUGGACCAAGACAAAGACAGGAGCUGUCCGCGGUGCUGAAUCGGCGGCGCCGUCGCCGGAGCAAGGGGGCUUCUGUAACCAGCCCUCUGCUCAUUUACUCCCCAUCCUUCUAGCUCCCCUUCGCUCUGUGACUCUUGCCUUCCCCUGAAUUUAUUUCCCUUUUGGGGGACUCACCUUAGAACCUGCGCCCUGUACACAGGUGUAUAUACAUAUAUCAAAGAACAAAACGAUUGAUUG
Molecule: long non-coding RNA, 379 nt
Organism: Homo sapiens (human)
Lineage: Eukaryota; Metazoa; Chordata; Mammalia; Primates; Hominidae
Gene: LHX5-AS1
Product: LHX5 antisense RNA 1
Exons: 2
Source: RefSeq, marked validated